Transfer RNA from Neotoma lepida (desert woodrat), 73 nucleotides. It matches the Rfam family "tRNA". Rfam says of the family: Transfer RNA (tRNA) molecules are approximately 80 nucleotides in length. Their secondary structure includes four short double-helical elements and three loops (D, anti-codon, and T loops). Further hydrogen bonds mediate the characteristic L-shaped molecular structure. tRNAs have two regions of fundamental functional importance: the anti-codon, which is responsible for specific mRNA codon recognition, and the 3' end, to which the tRNAs corresponding amino acid is attached (by aminoacyl-tRNA synthetases). tRNAs cope with the degeneracy of the genetic code in two manners: having more than one tRNA (with a specific anti-codon) for a particular amino acid; and 'wobble' base-pairing, i.e. permitting non-standard base-pairing at the 3rd anti-codon position. The record is from Rfam. NCBI's taxonomy places the organism in Eukaryota, Metazoa, Chordata, Mammalia, Rodentia, Cricetidae.
GGAGAGGUGGCUCAGAGGUUAAGAGCACUGACAGUUCUUCCAGAGGUCCUGAGUUCAAUUCCCAGCCCCCACA